ACUAGAUCUUCGUUUAGAUUGAGGCUGCCGUUCAAACACAUUAAUGUUGGUCCUUCGAGAUUCCCAUUCAAUCACAGUUCCAACUUGAGGUCUUUACCGCAUAAGAAGGCGACACAAACUUCGAGCAAAUCUUCAGAGCCCUGCAAAAACUUCUUUCAACAAACGCAAACUACAUUCAAUUGCUAUAUACACAGUGAAAAUGAUAAUUCAGUGAACCAAUCUUUAAGCCCUAUUGUGUUUGAAAAGAAUAUUAUGGAUAGUAGCAUAGCCACAG
Molecule: long non-coding RNA, 274 nt
Organism: Amyelois transitella
Lineage: Eukaryota; Metazoa; Arthropoda; Insecta; Lepidoptera; Pyralidae
Exons: 3
Source: RefSeq, a predicted model, not a curated record